AUAGAGAAUAGUUAGUGGCAGACGGGUGAGUAAUGCAUAGGAAUCUACCUAGUAGUAUGGGAUAGCCACUAGAAAUGGUGGGUAAUACUGUAUAAUCCCUGCGGGGGAAAGAUUUAUCGCUAUUAGAUGAGCCUAUGUUAGAUUAGCUAGUUGGUGGGGUAAAGGCCUACCAAGGCGAUGAUCUAUAGCUGGUCUGAGAGGAUGAUCAGCCACACUGGAACUGAGAUACGGUCCAGACUCCUACGGGAGGCAGCAGUGGGGAAUAUUGGACAAUGGGCGCAAGCCUGAUCCAGCUAUGCCGCGUGAGUGAGGAAGGCCUUAGGGUUGUAAAACUCUUUCAGUAGGGAAGAUAAUGACGGUACCUACAGAAGAAGUCCCGGCAAACUCCGUGCCAGCAGCCGCGGUAAUACGGAGGGGGCAAGCGUUGUUCGGAAUUAUUGGGCGUAAAGGGCAUGUAGGCGGUUCGGUAAGUUAAAGGUGAAAUGCCAGGGCUUAAC
RNAcentral lists this ribosomal RNA (497 nucleotides) under Anaplasma phagocytophilum. RNAcentral's name for it is "bacterial SSU rRNA". It matches the Rfam family "Bacterial small subunit ribosomal RNA", at positions 81 to 613 of the family's 1533-position model. Lineage: Bacteria; Pseudomonadati; Pseudomonadota; Alphaproteobacteria; Rickettsiales; Anaplasmataceae. The record is from RNAcentral.